GAAGAGAGGCUUGCAAACCUCACCUGUGCAGUCGGGGACAGAUCCUGCUUCCCUGACUGGACCCUGCUGCUCCCCGCCCCCAGGGCCACAGCUGCAGCGGAGGGGUGACCGGGAGGGACCGAGGGGCUCCCGUCAGGGGCAGCGUGUCCGUGGGGUGCGCAAUCCCGGUGUGAACACGGCCAGCGGAGGAGGUGCCCAGCUCUGACUCAGUGGCAGUGGAAGAGGCGGAAGCCGUCCCCCUGGGGUUCAGUUAUCAGUGAAAUAAGAUUGGCCGCGAGCCAACGGUCAUCGGAUGGAGGUGAUGAACCCUCGUGCACCCAGCUUGGCACUUGACUCCACCACUUGCUUGACGGGCGUGCUUCUGAGUGUGUUGACCUGGCCGCGUCCAUACCUCCUGCAAGGCGAGGAUGCCGACUCUCACCCGUCUUCCCGUCUCCCCCUGCCCACCUCCCGGUCCUGGGCUCACGUCUGUCUGUACCUGGAUUGGACGCUUCUGGGGACACGGCAGUGAGGAAAGCAGUUUUCUGAAGUUCUGGCCAACACAUUAAGACUGGAAACAGGAGUGCAGCAAUCCCACGUGAGGACAUAUAUCUGAAAGAGACGAACAGAGCGUCCUGAAGAGAUUCCUGCGAGCCAGGGGCCACUGCGGCGUGAGUUAAGGAAACAACCCGAGUGUCCGUCAGCGGAGGAAUGGAUGAAGGCGUGGUGUAUACACACAACAGAAUGUUUUUUUAAGUUUCUUAAAUGUUUAUUUAUUUUCAAGAGAGGGAGA
Suricata suricatta (meerkat) is the source of this 772-nucleotide long non-coding RNA. RefSeq lists it as uncharacterized. NCBI's taxonomy places the organism in Eukaryota, Metazoa, Chordata, Mammalia, Carnivora, Herpestidae. The transcript has 4 exons. The record is from RefSeq and is a predicted model, not a curated record.